CCUACGGGGAGCAGCAGUGAGGAAUAUUGGUCAAUGGACGCAAGUCUGAACCAGCCAUGCCGCGUGCAGGAAGACGGCUCUAUGAGUUGUAAACUGCUUUUGUACGAGGGUAAACGCAGAUACGCGUAUCUGUCUGAAAGUAUCGUACGAAUAAGGAUCGGCUAACUCCGUGCCAGCAGCCGCGGUAAUACGGAGGAUUCAAGCGUUAUCCGGAUUUAUUGGGUUUAAAGGGUGCGUAGGCGGUCGGAUAAGUUAGAGGUGAAAUCCCGAGGCUCAACUUCGGAAUUGCCUCUGAUACUGUUCGGCGAGAGAGUAGUGGCGGUAGGCGGAAUGUAUGGUGUAGCGGUGAAAUGCUUAGAGAUCAUACAGAACACCGAUUGCGAAGGCAGCUUACCAAGCUACUUCUGACGUUGAGGCACGAAAGCGUGGGGAGCAAACAGGAUUAGAUACCCGUGUAGUC
RNAcentral lists this ribosomal RNA (460 nucleotides) under uncultured bacterium. Its description in RNAcentral is "partial 16S ribosomal RNA". It matches the Rfam family "Bacterial small subunit ribosomal RNA", at positions 338 to 795 of the family's 1533-position model. The record is from RNAcentral.